GAAUCGCUAGUAAUCGUGGAUCAGAAUGUCACGGUGAAUACGUUCCCGGGCCUUGACACACCGCCCGUCACACCAUGGGAGUGGACUGCACCAGAAGUGGUUAGCUUAACCCUCGGGGGAGCGAUCACCACGGUGUGGUUCAUGACUGGGGUGAAGUCGUAACAAGGUAGCCGUAGGGGAACCUGCGGCUGGAUCACCUCCUUA
This 204-nucleotide ribosomal RNA is filed under the name Haererehalobacter sp. KY-VR2-2. RNAcentral describes it as "partial 16S ribosomal RNA". It matches the Rfam family "Bacterial small subunit ribosomal RNA", at positions 1329 to 1533 of the family's 1533-position model. The record is from RNAcentral. Lineage: Bacteria; Pseudomonadati; Pseudomonadota; Gammaproteobacteria.